CCUCUGUGCUCACGUGGAGCCGUGAAAAGGUGCCUCCUGUGCUAUGGAAACUGAGAGCCAAAAGGAACAUCUUUUACUGCCUGAAGAACUUCUCAGGUCAUGUCAGAUGCUGCAGCAGUCCAGGCUCCCCUGUCCUUCCCCAUCUCCUGGAGUUUGCACAAAUUCAUGUCCACAAUUUCAAGGGAAACCCUUUGGAUUAUCUGCUCCUAGAAGAUCCACUGACCAGGUGAGACCUCUAGUGUCCAGUUCCCUUCCUCUCCUUUUCAUACUUGCCCCAUCUCAGUCCCCAGGCAGGAUUAAGCAGGAAGACCACGUUACAGACCAUGUCACAACCCCCCAUCCUACCCUCUGAUGCCCAGGUCAGCAGCUGAGAUGGCAGCCACACUAGUUGGUGGUGACCACAGUGUGUCACCAUCUCCAGCAGUGGUGAUUGUCACACCUGCCAUCUGAGAGCUCCAGAUGAAAACCCUGAACCCCAGCACGUACGUAGUGAUGAAAACUCACGUUUAGCACAAACUUUCCAUCAACAUACCUUCCAGAACCUCUCCUUCAAUAAGCAAGGAGGCAAUGUUCUCCCUGAGAAGAUUUGGAA
RNAcentral lists this long non-coding RNA (592 nucleotides) under Capra hircus (goat). Its description in RNAcentral is "lncRNA (ENSCHIG00000002714.1)". Lineage: Eukaryota; Metazoa; Chordata; Mammalia; Artiodactyla; Bovidae. The record is from RNAcentral.